This is a small nucleolar RNA of Lolium rigidum, 93 nucleotides long. The record is from RefSeq and is a predicted model, not a curated record. NCBI's taxonomy places the organism in Eukaryota, Viridiplantae, Streptophyta, Magnoliopsida, Poales, Poaceae.
AAAUGGCGGUGAUGAUCAACACUUCCAGCAAACAUGCCAGUUCUGCUUCUGAGAAUUCUUGACUGAAAGAACUGUUUUAUGUCUGAGCCAUAC